GAAUCAGCUUGUCCUUAUUACGUAAGUCAUGAUCAAUGGCCUUGACUGUGCUAUAACUCUACAAAUGAAGCUCCAGCUGUGUAUCCGUAACUGUGUCAUUUCCAGCUGAGAAUCUGGUGCAGGAAAGACUGUGAACACCAAACGUGUCAUUCAGUACUUUGCGACAGUCGCAGUGUCUGGAGACAAGAAGAAAGAGGCCACGCAAGGAAAAAUGUAGGUAAGGGAAAUGAUCGUUUGUAUGAGCCGCAGGCUUUAUUUUUUUUUAUUUUAUUUUAUUUUUUUAUAUUUUACUGAAAUCUAACUUGCAAUUACCCCACAGGGAACGUUGGAGGAUCAAAUAAUUUCAGCCAACCCUCUACUUGAAGCUUUUGGGAAUGCCAAAACUGUGAGGAACGACAACUCCUUCAUGCUUUGUGAGUUCAGCAGUUGUGUCAUAUUAUGUUUGUUUAAGAAAGUUAAUUAGCAUUUGUUUAAUGUAAGCUGCAAAUUCCAACAGUGUAAAUUCAUACAAAUUCACUUUGGUACAUCUGGAAAACUCUCCUCUGCUGAUCAUGAAAAAUGUGAUCCUUUUUGCACAUGGUCAAAAUGAUAUUCUUUGACUUUCUACAAGGUAACUGAAUUUUUGUCCUUCUAGAUUUGCUGGAGAAGUCCAGGGUGACCGUUCAGCUGGCCGAAGAGAGGAAGUUAUCACAUCUUCUAUCAAGUCACCACAGGCCAUAAGCCACAGCUGAUAAGUGAGAGUGUCACACAAGAGAUCACAUGAUAGCCAAAUAUCUUUAAGCUCCUUUCACAUUUGAUCUAUUUUCUUCUUUCUCCUCAAACAUGCUCCUUAUCACAACCAAUCCCUAAGAUUUCCCCCAUGAUCAGUCAACGGGUUAAUGAAAAAUGAAAAAAAUAUGAGGCGAGGUCUUGGUUCUUGUCUGUUGGUUAUUGAUUGGAUGGAGUCAGAUCUGAAUGUAAAAACCCCAUCUGGUGGUGUUUAGGCAGAUGAAAUGAUGGAGAAGUCUGGCAUAUGUCACCAGAGUAUCAUUGGUAAGAUCAUGUUUCAUUUUGAUUUUGAGGAAGAGUCUACAAUUGAACAUUUCCCGUCCACUCUCAAAUCUGAUUCUUAUUUUCGUAAAUAUGACGUGAAGUUGCACAAUGGCAGGUGUGGUGUCAGUGAUGCCAAGAGUCAUUUGUUUGUUAUUCCCAACUCUGUAACCACAAAAUCCACCAUUUUUUAUGGACAUGUGAAACAUUUCUGUGAAGUAAGUAUAUUUUUUUGUGUUAUGGCUGUUGCAGUGGCUGAUAAAGUUGCUGAACUCUGCCAACUUGUUGAAAGCUCUUGUCAUCCAAGAGUGUAAUUUGGGAAUGAGUGUCACCAAGGGACAGAUGGUUCAACAGGUAUGUACUUUGCAAUACUUCAUCUCUGCUUCAGUGGCAUUAUUACAUUACCUAGCCAGCACUUUACUUUUAAUCAACCCCACAGGUCAUGAAUUUCAGUUAUGGCCUUAGCAAAGUCUAUGAGAAGAUGUUCUUGUGGAUCGUCAUCCAAAUCAACCAGAUGCUGGACACCAAGCAGCCUCGGUCCUUCUUCAUUAGAGUACUUGACAUUGCUGGAUUUGAAAUCUUUGAUGUGAGCCGCGCAUAUUUGAUAAUUAUUGGGCCAGGCUGUCACAGCUGUGCGAAGCUUUGAUUAUGAAAAUUAAAUGGGGAUUCUUUAAUGCUUCAUGACUCAUGAAAGUUAAUUUGUUAACAGCUCAAGUGGAUGGCAAAAUGAUUCAUAGAUUGAUUGUUCUGAACAGCUGUGCAUCAACUUCACCAAUGAAAAACUGCAGCAGUUCUUCAA
Long non-coding RNA from Megalobrama amblycephala (Wuchang bream), 1828 nucleotides. RefSeq lists it as uncharacterized. The transcript has 2 exons. The record is from RefSeq and is a predicted model, not a curated record. NCBI's taxonomy places the organism in Eukaryota, Metazoa, Chordata, Actinopteri, Cypriniformes, Xenocyprididae.